Molecule: ribosomal RNA, 582 nt
Filed under: Exophiala bonariae
Lineage: Eukaryota; Fungi; Ascomycota; Eurotiomycetes; Chaetothyriales; Herpotrichiellaceae
Description: eukaryotic LSU rRNA
Rfam family: 5.8S ribosomal RNA (bases 208-362)
Source: RNAcentral
GACUGCGGAGGGAUCAUUACCGAGUUAGGGUCUCACCGGCCCGAUCUCCCAACCCUUUGUCUACUUGACCAUCGUUGCUUCGGCGAGCCCGUCCUCACGGACCGCCGGGGGGUCUUUGUACCCCUUGGCCCGCGCUCGUCGACAGCCCCCAAAAAAUCUUUAACUAAACGUGCCUUAAAUCUAAGUAUUAUUGUUAAAUAAAAACAAAACUUUCAACAACGGAUCUCUUGGUUCUGGCAUCGAUGAAGAACGCAGCGAAAUGCGAUAAGUAAUGCGAAUUGCAGAAUUCCAGUGAGUCAUCGAAUCUUUGAACGCACAUUGCGCCCUUUGGUAUUCCGAAGGGCAUGCCUGUUCGAGCGUCAUUAUCACCCCUCAAGCCCUCGGCUUGGUGUUGGACGGUUUGGUGGAGACCCCCCUCGCGGGCUUCUACCCCUCCCAAAGACAAUGACGGCGGCCUCGUUGGACCCCCGGUACACUGAGUUCUUCACGGGACACGUAUCGGACACACGGGUUGACGGGACACGGUCUGCCUCCCCUCGGGGAGAAUCUUUUUUAUCAAGGUUGACCUCGGAUCAGGUACGG